RNAcentral lists this ribosomal RNA (253 nucleotides) under uncultured Bellilinea sp. Its description in RNAcentral is "partial 16S ribosomal RNA". It matches the Rfam family "Bacterial small subunit ribosomal RNA", at positions 524 to 776 of the family's 1533-position model. The record is from RNAcentral. Lineage: Bacteria; Bacillati; Chloroflexota; Anaerolineae; Anaerolineales; Anaerolineaceae.
AACGUAGGAGACAAGCGUUAUCCGAAUUUACUGGGCGUAAAGCGCGUGCAGGUGGUUGGGUAAGUGGCGUGUGAAAUCUCCUGGCUCAACUGGGAGAGGCUGCGCCAAACUGCCCGACUAGAGGACGGUAGAGGGAGGUGGAAUUCCCGGUGUAGUGGUGAAAUGCGUAGAUAUCGGGAGGAACACCUGUGGCGAAAGCGGCCUCCUGGACCGUACCUGACGCUCAGACGCGAAAGCUAGGGGAGUGAACGGG